GACGAACGCUGGCGGCGUGCUUAACACAUGCAAGUCGAACGGAAAGGCCCUGCUUUUGUGGGGUGCUCGAGUGGCGAACGGGUGAGUAACACGUGAGUAACCUGCCCUUGACUUUGGGAUAACUUCAGGAAACUGGGGCUAAUACCGGAUAGGAGCUCCUGCUGCAUGGGGGGGGUUGGAAAGUUUCGGCGGUUGGGGAUGGACUCGGGGCUUAUCAGCUUGUUGGUGGGGUAGUGGCUUACCAAGGCUUUGACGGGUAGCCGGCCUGGGAGGGUGACCGGCCACAUUGUGACUGAGAUACGGCCCAGACUCCUACGGGAGGCAGCAGUGGGGAAUAUUGCACAAUGGGCGGAAGCCUGAUGAAGCAACGCCGCGUGCGUGAUGACGGCUUUCGGGUUGUAAACCGCUUUCGCCUGUGACGAAGCGUGAGUGACGGUAAUGGGUAAAGAAGCACCGGCUAACUACGUG
This 468-nucleotide ribosomal RNA is filed under the name uncultured bacterium. RNAcentral's name for it is "partial 16S ribosomal RNA". It matches the Rfam family "Bacterial small subunit ribosomal RNA", at positions 28 to 507 of the family's 1533-position model. The record is from RNAcentral.